GACGAACGCUGGCGGCGUGCCUAAUACAUGCAAGUAGAACGCUGAAGGAGGAGCUUGCUUCUCUGGAUGAGUUGCGAACGGGUGAGUAACGCGUAGGUAACCUGCCUGGUAGCGGGGGAUAACUAUUGGAAACGAUAGCUAAUACCGCAUAACAGUAGAUAUUGCAUGAUAUCUGCUUGAAAGGUGCAAUUGCAUCACUACCAGAUGGACCUGCGUUGUAUUAGCUAGUUGGUGGGGUAACGGCUCACCAAGGCGACGAUACAUAGCCGACCUGAGAGGGUGAUCGGCCACACUGGGACUGAGACACGGCCCAGACUCCUACGGGAGGCAGCAGUAGGGAAUCUUCGGCAAUGGACGGAAGUCUGACCGAGCAACGCCGCGUGAGUGAAGAAGGUUUUCGGAUCGUAAAGCUCUGUUGUAAGAGAAGAACG
RNAcentral lists this ribosomal RNA (431 nucleotides) under Streptococcus sp. oral taxon 431. Its description in RNAcentral is "bacterial SSU rRNA". It matches the Rfam family "Bacterial small subunit ribosomal RNA", at positions 28 to 451 of the family's 1533-position model. The record is from RNAcentral. Lineage: Bacteria; Bacillati; Bacillota; Bacilli; Lactobacillales; Streptococcaceae.